UCCAAAGUGGAAGCACUGGGUAUAUAUAACAGUUAUCAUAUGCUUGCGUUCUCUUUCUCCUUCGACUCUUAGCAAGUUCACUAUUUGGCAAGUGGGAAAGUUUGUAGACCUUUCGGCACGUAUAUAAAUCUUUCUGACACUGAGAUUGAAAGUGUUUUAACAAUGUUUUGUGUGGCUGGCAACAAAACUUACUAUGGGAAAAAAUUUUCCAUGUUUGGGGAUUUCUCGCUCAAAAUAUUUGGGAAGCUAAAGCUGAAAGAAGAAGAAAAUUCUGCUGGGCAUUGGGUUUGCUGUUGUGGUUCAGCCUCCGAAGAUGAGGAAACUACAAUCAGACUUAUCGUAUUGAACGUCAAUUGUUUCGACUCCAAGCAACGUUUCAUUGACUCAUUAAGAGCUGCUUAUGGAGAAGGAACGUUCUUAUUGGGGCCGCACGUGACGUCAGCUGUCGUCCAUUCGUACGCCUGCUACCUGAAAGAAGACUUCUCCCAACAGGAGAACAAAAGGGUUUUCCAUGAAACGCGUUUCAUGGGAUACCAAGGGAAUAACUACUGGAUUAUUUCCAAUGAUGUGCAUAUUGAGAAUGGUAAAGUGUUAGAUCCAAUUGAUCAUAAGUAUCUAAUAUUGGACAAGUCUUUAAAACCAACCAAUUGCAAAUUAACGAAAGCUUACUGAACGAUUACGCAAAGUUGAAUCGUUCUGUUGCAAGGUUCAUACUACUUUCGCAAUGCUUGGGCCCUAAUAUGGACUCAUUUU
Long non-coding RNA from Dendronephthya gigantea, 753 nucleotides. RefSeq lists it as uncharacterized. The transcript has 5 exons. NCBI's taxonomy places the organism in Eukaryota, Metazoa, Cnidaria, Anthozoa, Malacalcyonacea, Nephtheidae. The record is from RefSeq and is a predicted model, not a curated record.